AUUAGUUUUUUAAUUGGAGGCUAGAAUGAAUGGUUGGACAAGAAAUAAUCUGUCUUAGGUUAAUAUAUUGAAUUUGACUUUUAAGUGAAAAGGCUUAAAUAAUCUGAAGGGACGAUAAGACCCUAUAAAACUUUAUAUUGAAAAGUGAUAGGUACAAUUUGUUUGAAGGGUUGUUAUUUUAAAGUAUUUGGUUGGGGUGACAAGGAUAAAAUGGAAAGUAACUGUUUUUUUUUUUUACAGUGAUGUUUGGGUUAAUGAUCCUAAAAUGGAUUAAAGAUUAAGUUACUUUAGGGAUAACAGCGUAAUUUUCUUUAAGAGUUCUUAUCGAUAANAAAGUUUGCGACCUC
This 347-nucleotide ribosomal RNA is filed under the name Cambarus strigosus. RNAcentral describes it as "partial 16S ribosomal RNA". Lineage: Eukaryota; Metazoa; Arthropoda; Malacostraca; Decapoda; Cambaridae. The record is from RNAcentral.